GGGAGGCGCGGUGCGGCGGAAGUGCGGCCCUGAGGGGAUGCGGCCUACUCAGAGGCGCAGCCGUGCCGUGUGGCCGUUUGAGUCGUGUAUAGGAUAAUUAGCUUUCAAGUGGAGCAGCGCCAGCUCGGCCUCCUCUACGUGCCAUCCAUCAGAAUGCUGGGUGGAAUGCAGCAUGACCUUGUGUAGCAGCAGAGCAGCAGCAGUGAUGGCAGUGGAGAGCAGCAGCAUGAACCGGUGCGGUGAAAAGCAAAUGAUCCUUGUCAUCCCUCAGGCUUCCUUUGUGCUAUUACGGGAACACCCCUGCUUUAAAAAGAGAAUCAUUUCAUGGAAAGCGAUUUAUUAAACCUCACGAUCUGCCAAGACCCGUGAAUAUUGAUGUGCUCUCAUUAGCACCCUCUGCAAGAGCUGGAAACUCAAUUUGUCGUGGCGUAACGGGAAUUGUGUGUUGCAGAGCAACGAGUGGCGGGGUCUGAAUUAAAGCAAAACUGACAAAGCGUCCCAGCAAUUACAAUCAACUGCUGUUUUGUUUUAAAUGUGGCUAAAGAACCGCUCACAUGCCUUCAGUGACAUGGAAAAUAAGAUAAUACUGGACUCUUCUAGAAGAUAAAGCCUCAAACGGUACAGACUUACUCCCAACUCUUGCAGCAAACAACAACCUGUGCACAGCAGCUGUGCAGGAUGGUGGCAGACGUGAACAACAGCAGCAGUAGUUCAGAGUGAAAAUAGAAGCAUCAGAUGCGUCAGUGACAGCCUUAAUGUGGAAGGACUCUUCCAGACCAAAUGGAGAGGAAAAAAAUGAAUAAAUGGCGGGAGCUGUUGCAGUGCUGCAGUAUUCACAGCCUUCCAAGAAGCUGCAUUUUGCCAUUCUUCACAGAUGGAUGAAUAUUAAAACACCAGCUUUGAAAGAAGAAUGGGAACUCCAGAUGAAAGAACGGUUCCUGUGGAAUGAAUGUUUCUUGUAAUAGAAAAGGAUUGGAACUACUUUUCUUAAAGUACUGCAGAUGGACUUCCUUCCUUAGGUCUUAAAAAUCAGUGUUUAUUGAAAGGUGUUUCUAUGCUUGUGUUUCAGAUUCUUCUGUAAUUGAAAAAAUGGCAUAAGUAUAAAGCUAGGAUAUGUUCCACCUUCUGCUCUUCCCAUCACUCAGCCAUCCAGUUUUCCUCAGAGCAAUGAAAAGUUCUCAGGCAUUGAUCCUCUGAGCUUUGAAAUGGAUCAGAAGGCACAUUUAUGGGUUGUACCAGAGGGUGAAACAGCUCAUAACAAUUACUUUCUUAGGAACAAGGACAGAAGUGCAGAUUUGUUGGGCUCAUUAAACCUUACAAACAUGAAAUAGAAAUCAGUCAGCAUUUCAUAUCCAACAACUGUGAGAUAAAAGCCCAACAGCCAACCUCAACAUGACAAAUAAAAAUGACAAAACAUUCUAGACUGAAGAACACUGAUUUGCUAACAAACCUCCCAGUGCUGACCACAGGCUGCUACUUAAAAUCCUCCAUAAGACAGCAGGGAAAGCAGUGGGGAAGGCUGAGUUCUGCAUCAACUCAGUCCACUAUGAAAACAAGUAUUCGGAGAUGAAGGUUUUAGAAUACAAGAUGCUUGAAUAAAAAGGUGUUUUCAUGCCG
Molecule: non-coding RNA, 1617 nt
Organism: Coturnix japonica (Japanese quail)
Lineage: Eukaryota; Metazoa; Chordata; Aves; Galliformes; Phasianidae
Source: RefSeq, a predicted model, not a curated record